This 468-nucleotide ribosomal RNA is filed under the name uncultured bacterium. Its description in RNAcentral is "partial 16S ribosomal RNA". It matches the Rfam family "Bacterial small subunit ribosomal RNA", at positions 28 to 507 of the family's 1533-position model. The record is from RNAcentral.
GACGAACGCUGGCGGCGUGCUUAACACAUGCAAGUCGAACGGAAAGGCCCUGCUUUUGUGGGGUGCUCGAGUGGCGAACGGGUGAGUAACACGUGAGUAACCUGCCCUUGACUUUGGGAUAACUUCAGGAAACUGGGGCUAAUACCGGAUAGGAGCUCCUGCUGCAUGGUGGGGGUUGGAAAGUUUCGGCGGUUGGGGAUGGACUCGCGGCUUAUCAGCUUGUUGGUGGGGUAGUGGCUUACCAAGGCUUUGACGGGUAGCCGGCCUGAGAGGGUGACCGGCCACAUUGGGACUGGGAUGCGGCCCAGACUCCUACGGGAGGCAGCAGUGGGGAAUAGUGCACAAUGGGCGGAAGCCUGAUGCAGCAACGCCGCGUGCGGGAUGACGGCCUUCGGGUUGUAAACCGCUUUCGCCUGUGACGAAGCGUGAGUGACGGUAAUGGGUAAAGAAGCACCGGCUAACUACGUG